This 291-nucleotide ribosomal RNA is filed under the name uncultured bacterium. RNAcentral's name for it is "partial 16S ribosomal RNA". It matches the Rfam family "Bacterial small subunit ribosomal RNA", at positions 972 to 1159 of the family's 1533-position model. The record is from RNAcentral.
UACCUGGGCUAGAAUGUGAGCGCUAUCCGUGAAAGCGGAAGUUCCUUCGGGACGUGAAACAAGGUGCUGCAUGGCUGUCGUCAGCUCGUGCCGUGAGGUGUUGGGUUAAGUCCCGCAACGAGCGCAACCCUUGUCCUUAGUUGCCAGGUCCACAUGCACUCCAUCACUCCUCCCAGGCGCCUCCUGUGGCAUACUGGCCAUGCCCCUAGGUGCUGCCCGGAAUGUGUCCAUGACCAAGCCUGCUCCUAUCACCUGUUGCCCAGCUCGUUUUCAUGGUACACACCGCCCGUA